CUAAAGGCUCUUUUCAGAGCCACCUAAGUUGUCAAAACAGAGCUGG
Molecule: non-coding RNA, 46 nt
Organism: Cricetulus griseus (Chinese hamster)
Lineage: Eukaryota; Metazoa; Chordata; Mammalia; Rodentia; Cricetidae
Source: Rfam